This 253-nucleotide ribosomal RNA is filed under the name uncultured bacterium. Its description in RNAcentral is "partial 16S ribosomal RNA". It matches the Rfam family "Bacterial small subunit ribosomal RNA", at positions 524 to 776 of the family's 1533-position model. The record is from RNAcentral.
UACGAAGGGGACUAGCGUUGUUCGGAAUCACUGGGCGUAAAGCGCACGUAGGCGGAUUUGUAAGUCAGGGGUGAAAUCCCGGGGCUCAACCUCGGAACUGCCUUUGAUACUGCGAAUCUUGAGUCCGAUAGAGGUGGGUGGAAUUCCUAGUGUAGAGGUGAAAUUCGUAGAUAUUAGGAAGAACACCGGUGGCGAAGGCGGCCCACUGGAUCGGUACUGACGCUGAGGUGCGAAAGCGUGGGGAACAAACAGG